AAAUUUCAUCAAAUACCCCUAAAUAAAUCCCGUGUGCGACGCCGUCGAUCGACUUAAGAACGAUAUCUCUCUGCUCACGCGCGAAAACCUCGGCGGUCGAUUUUGUCGAUCCGAAUCGGAACUUCAGUUUUGGUCAGACUCAGAGCGAACACGCUGUGUUUUUUUUUUUUUAAGUGGCGGAUUUGGACGAGAUUUUGAGUAAAAUGGAGCAGAUAUAUCACUAAAAUCAAGGAACAUUAAGACAAUUUUUUUUGGAAUAGCGAUGAUAUCAAAACUCAAUUUAUCUUUGGUUUUUUUUUCACAUAAAAGAAGUUUAAGGCCAGCGUGUUUCGUCUUUCCAAAUUCCGCCACUUAGUCACUUAGUUACGUCGUCACAUAGCAAUUUAGUAACUUAGUCACUUUGCAUUCCUUUGCAUAAUUUAUGUCACUUGAAGUAUGUAACAGUAACUGUUAGCAACUUUGCCAUGGUUUACCCAUAGAGCUCGCUGUUUUGUUGGAGAAAACCAGUACCUGAUUUCACAACAUUUAGGAUUUUUCAGUAGGACUUGCCCACCACAGCAUCCAACCAGUUUAUCGUGCCAAAAGGACUCCCCUAUGGACUUCAAUUUGCAUUCUUAAAUAGGAACUGUGGUGAAAGAUAAGUUUGUUUACUUUUAUUAUUUAUAUAUUUUGGGUAAUCUAUAUUUUCUCCAGUGUAAACUGUUUGUAUGCAUACAAAUCGAGUGGAACUAGGUACUUAUUUUCGUGAUAGAUAGGGUUUUCAGGUCUUUGUUUUGUUCCAUAUUAUAAAUAGUAGUUUUUCCAAUUAAAUAAGUCUUGUUUAAUAAUAAUCAUAAAUAAUUGUAGCUUAAAAUUUGAUAGGGAAUCGGGGGUAAAAUUUUGUCAAGGUUUUUUUUUUAAAUAGGGAAUAUGUCUAGUGGGUUUUUACAUUGUAUAUUAAGAGUCUGACCAGCUCAUUUAUAUAAAUCAAUUAUAUAAUUAUUAUUAUUUUGCUAGAUGAGAUACUUAAUUUUUUUGGUAACCGUAGCGUUCUAGUCGUGUAUCUCACCUAGACGAGUUCAAUUUAGGGAAUAUUACUAACUUUUAGUUGUAAGAACUUUGUGCUAUUCACACGGACUUUUGCUUUGGAUUUUCUACUAAUACAUUUACUUAGCGCAGUGUGUAGUGGUUAAUUGUAAGUUAGUGGCUUUUUGGUCCUGUUUGACCGUUAAACCACCCACUACCACUGUUAUUGUGUUUUGAUUUAUAUAUUACAUUGUCAAUAUAUGUAUAAUAUAGUUAUUAUUGUUAAUAUAUUUGUUAUUAGAAA
Molecule: long non-coding RNA, 1309 nt
Organism: Diabrotica virgifera virgifera (western corn rootworm)
Lineage: Eukaryota; Metazoa; Arthropoda; Insecta; Coleoptera; Chrysomelidae
Exons: 2
Source: RefSeq, a predicted model, not a curated record